UACGUAGGUGGCAAGCGUUAUCCGGAAUUACUGGGCGUAAAGCGCACGCAGGCGGUCUUUUAAGUUUGACGUGAAAGCUCCCGGCUUAACUGGGAGAGGUCGUUGAAGACUGGGAGACUUGAGGCAAUGAGAGGGGUGUAGAAUUCCCGGUGUAGUGGUGGAAUGCGUAGAUAUCGGGGGGAAUACCAGUGGCGAAAGCGGCACCCUAGCGUUAGCCUGACGCUCAUGUGCGAAAGCGUGGGGAGCGAACGGG
RNAcentral lists this ribosomal RNA (253 nucleotides) under uncultured bacterium. RNAcentral's name for it is "partial 16S ribosomal RNA". It matches the Rfam family "Bacterial small subunit ribosomal RNA", at positions 524 to 776 of the family's 1533-position model. The record is from RNAcentral.